RNAcentral lists this ribosomal RNA (633 nucleotides) under uncultured bacterium. RNAcentral describes it as "bacterial SSU rRNA". The stretch from base 1 to 532 matches the Rfam family "Bacterial small subunit ribosomal RNA", at positions 338 to 873 of the family's 1533-position model. The record is from RNAcentral.
CCUACGGGAGGCAGCAGUGAGGAAUAUUGGACAAUGGGCGCAAGCCUGAUCCAGCCAUGCCGCGUGCAGGAAGACGGUCCUAUGGAUUGUAAACUGCUUUUAUACAGGAAGAAACACCUCUACGUGUAGAGACUUGACGGUACUGUAUGAAUAAGCAUCGGCUAACUCCGUGCCAGCAGCCGCGGUAAUACGGAGGAUGCAAGCGUUAUCCGGAAUCAUUGGGUUUAAAGGGUCCGUAGGCGGUUUAAUAAGUCAGUGGUGAAAGCCCAUCGCUCAACGAUGGAACGGCCAUUGAUACUGUUAAACUUGAAUUAUUAGGAAGUAACUAGAAUAUGUAGUGUAGCGGUGAAAUGCUUAGAGAUUACAUGGAAUACCAAUUGCGAAGGCAGGUUACUACUAAUAUAUUGACGCUGAUGGACGAAAGCGUGGGGAGCGAACAGGAUUAGAUACCCUGGUAGUCCACGCCGUAAACGAUGGAUACUAGCUGUUCGGAGCAAUNUGAGUGNGUAGAGAAGAGAGUAAGUAUACCACCGUCGGGAGGUACGGUUCGUCGAAGAAGUAGUAAACGUUAAACGGUAAAGUUAGUACGGACGUAGAGACGUUAGCGACGGACGACGACGAGGGAGGAGGGNG